This 227-nucleotide unclassified non-coding RNA is filed under the name plant metagenome. RNAcentral describes it as "partial contains small subunit ribosomal RNA, internal transcribed spacer 1, and 5.8S ribosomal RNA". The record is from RNAcentral.
UCUCCGUUGGUGAACCAGCGGAGGGAUCAUUACAGGGUUGCGAGUCUCAUAAAUCCACCGUGAACCUCCCGUACGUUGCCUCCGCGGGCGGCCCCAGGGCGGAGCCCCCCGGCCUGCCAUCGUCGAGGCGCCCGCCGGCGGCCAACCAGGAUUCUGUCUGUACAAAUGACCUCUGAGCAACGUGUUUAACGAAGUCAAAACUUUCAACAACGGAUCUCUUGGUUCUG